UGCCCAGCAACUCCUAUCCCUACCUCCUCGUGGUACUAGCCGGGGUACGAGUAACCUUGGGGAAGA
Molecule: non-coding RNA, 66 nt
Organism: Aedes aegypti (yellow fever mosquito)
Lineage: Eukaryota; Metazoa; Arthropoda; Insecta; Diptera; Culicidae
Source: Rfam